AUUGAACGCUGGCGGCAGGCCUAACACAUGCAAUUCGAGCGGAUGAAGGGAGCUUGCUCCUGGAUUCAGCGGCGGACGGGUGAGUAAUGCCUAGGAAUCUGCCUGGUAGUGGGGGAUAACGUCCGGAAACGGGCGCUAAUACCGCAUACGUCCUGAGGGAGAAAGUGGGGGAUCUUCGGACCUCACGCUAUCAGAUGAGCCUAGGUCGGAUUAGCUAGUUGGUGGGGUAAAGGCCUACCAAGGCGACGAUCCGUAACUGGUCUGAGAGGAUGAUCAGUCACACUGGAACUGAGACACGGUCCAGACUCCUACGGGAGGCAGCAGUGGGGAAUAUUGGACAAUGGGCGAAAGCCUGAUCCAGCCAUGCCGCGUGUGUGAAGAAGGUCUUCGGAUUGUAAAGCACUUUAAGUUGGGAGGAAGGGCAGUAAGUUAAUACCUUGCUGUUUUGACGUUACCAACAGAAUAAGCACCGGCUAACUUCGUG
Molecule: ribosomal RNA, 484 nt
Filed under: uncultured bacterium
Lineage: Bacteria
Description: partial 16S ribosomal RNA
Rfam family: Bacterial small subunit ribosomal RNA
Source: RNAcentral